GCAGAGCAGUGUCCAGAGUCACUGACAAGUUCAUAACCCUUCCAAACUGGUCAAUGUAGUAGACAUUAUCCUGGUACCAGGAGUCAAGGUGAAGAUAAUUAUACAUGCCAAAAGCACGCAUGUGGUCAAGGGUAUAUUGAUCAUCACGAAGUUUCACUUCUGCUACAGCCGCGUCCAACUCCAGCUGGUAGCAGGCCAGCGGCUCCAGGGACAGCUUGUAGCCCUCGAACUUGGGGUCCAGGAGCAGGCGCUUGGCCUCCAGCGAGCAGUGCGCGGCGCCCUCCAUGCCGGACGCGGGCAGCCCGCGAGAG
Molecule: long non-coding RNA, 311 nt
Filed under: Gallus gallus (chicken)
Lineage: Eukaryota; Metazoa; Chordata; Aves; Galliformes; Phasianidae
Source: RNAcentral